UAACAAGGAUUCCCUUAGUAACUGCGAGUGAACCGGGAAGAGCUCAAAUUUAAAAUCUGGCGGUUCUGCCGUCCGAGUUGUAAUCUGGAGAAGCGUUUUCCGCGUCGGACCGUGUACAAGUCUCUUGGAAUAGAGCGUCAUAGAGGGUGAGAAUCCCGUCCAUGACACGGACUCCCGAUGCUUUGUGAUACGCUCUCAAAGAGUCGAGUUGUUUGGGAAUGCAGCUCAAAAUGGGUGGUAAAUUCCAUCUAAAGCUAAAUAUUGGCGAGAGACCGAUAGCGAACAAGUACCGUGAGGGAAAGAUGAAAAGCACUUUGGAAAGAGAGUUAAACAGUACGUGAAAUUGUUGAAAGGGAAACGCUUGAAGUCAGUCGCGUCGUACGGAGCUCAGCCUUGCUUCUGCUUGGUGUAUUCUCCGUGUCGAUGGGUCAACGUCAAUUUUGACCGGUGGAAAAGGGCUUAGGGAAUGUAGCGUUGUUUCGGCGACGUGUUAUAGCCUUAGGUCGUAUGCAUCGGUCGGGAUUGAGGACCGCAGCACGCCCUUGUGGCCGAGGGUUCGCCCUACGUUCGUGCUUAGGAUGUUGGCAAAAUGGCUUUAAGCGACCCGUCUUGAAACACGGACCAAGGAGUCUAACAUGCCUGCGAGUGUUCGGGUGGAAAACCCUUGCGCGUAAUGAAAGUGAAAGUUGGGAUCCUUCGUAAGGAGGUGCACCGACGCCCGGCCCUGACGUUCUCUGACGGUGCUGCGGUAGAGCAUGUAUGUUGGGACCCGAAAGAUGGUGAACUAUGCCUGAAUAGGGUGAAGCCAGAGGAAACUCUGGUGGAGGCUCGUAGCGAUUCUGACGUGCAAAUCGAUCGUCAAAUUUGGG
This 869-nucleotide ribosomal RNA is filed under the name Hymenochaete adusta. RNAcentral describes it as "eukaryotic LSU rRNA". It matches the Rfam family "Eukaryotic large subunit ribosomal RNA", at positions 66 to 915 of the family's 3401-position model. Lineage: Eukaryota; Fungi; Basidiomycota; Agaricomycetes; Hymenochaetales; Hymenochaetaceae. The record is from RNAcentral.